AAUAUUUCACAAUGGAGGGAACUCUGAUGCAGCAAUGCCGCGUGAGUGAAGAAGGUUUNCGGAUCNUNAAACUCUGUCAUUGGGGNAGAAUAAAUGACGGUACCCAAUGAGGAGGCCCCGGCUAACUACGUUCCAGCAGCCGCGGUAAUACGUAGGGGGCGAGCGUUGUCCGGAAUUACUGGGCGUAAAGGGUAAGUAGGCGGCUAUAUAAGUCAGGUGUGAAAUACCAGUGCUUAACACUGGAAUUGCAUUUGAAACUGUGUAGCUUGAGUGCAGGAGAGGAAAGUGGAAUUCCUAGUGUAGCGGUGAAAUGCGUAGAGAUUAGGAGGAACACCAGUGGCGAAGGCGACUUUCUGGACUGUAACUGACGCUGAGGUACGAAAGCGUGGGUAGCGAACA
Molecule: ribosomal RNA, 399 nt
Filed under: uncultured bacterium
Lineage: Bacteria
Description: partial 16S ribosomal RNA
Rfam family: Bacterial small subunit ribosomal RNA
Source: RNAcentral